Molecule: long non-coding RNA, 10108 nt
Filed under: Sorghum bicolor (sorghum)
Lineage: Eukaryota; Viridiplantae; Streptophyta; Magnoliopsida; Poales; Poaceae
Description: long non-coding RNA (SBIC_LNC006995)
Source: RNAcentral
CUAUGCUUGAGGUUAGAGAAGAACAAAUACACUUUUGGUUCUGUUGGUGUUUUCCACCAACAGGGCCCAUGCACUUGAUCUCUGCCUUGUCUCUAUGAGUAGGUACACCUUGAGCAAAAUAUGAAGGAUUUUUACAACUCCCAGACUCCACCAAAGUGAAGAACCUAGAUCUAUGAGCACAAACACGCUGGAGAUACUGGACACUCAUGCAAACACUGCCCUGAGAUGCUUGAGGAUGUAACUACUGGAGUAACCCCGUUGUGGAAGUAAUUACUGACCUUCUGCCGGUCAAGAGAGACAAUCUAGGAUGCCCCGUCAUCCCAAUCUCCAUCAGCAUGUCGGACUUCCUAGAAGCACUCUGCGACUUUGGCUCCAGCGUCAACAUUAUACCUAGGGGAAGCCAUUCCUGAACACCUCGGGAGCUGUCAUCUACGCUAGUGCUGCCAAGAUCAGUUUCUACAUCAAGGGGAAGAAGGAGACGUUUUCCUUCAAGAAACAAGACUACACAAAUCCCAGAGCAAUCCCGACAUGAACCAAGGAAGAGGACCAACAGGAGGAACAAGAACAAGCAAAUAUGUACCGAGUCAGCUAAGAUGGUCAUUGCAGCUCGAGGAGGUCAAGAUCGUCAACUCAAGUCACCUUUCUUGAUAAGAAGGAUGACCCUGGUGUCCCAAGCAUCGAGUUCACAAUCAAUGGAUAUUCUUUUCAGAAGACACUCUACGACACCGGAUCUAACGUCAACAUAAUGGCCGCAGUCACUUAUCAGCUCCUGCAUGGAACCAUGUCCCUACAACCAACAUACAUUCAGCUCCAGAUGACAGAUCAGACAUUCUGAAAGGUUAUUGACAUGGGAGAAGACAAGUCAGGACAAGAAGAAGAUGACGCAACCGUAACCAGAGGAGGAAAAUCAUAAAGGACGGAUGGGCAGACUGCGAAGGAGAAGUGGUAAUGUCUGAAGACAUACAACUUGAACGGAACUGUCCUAAGGAGACCGUAGCACCGAGUCAGGUGUGUAGAGAGAAGAUUGUUAUACACGAAGAGGAGGCGUCGCCGGAACCACCGACUACGCCAUCCAGUGAAUCCCAGGACGACUGAGAAUAUGGAGAGUCCCGUUCGGAGAACUUAAAAACACCAAACGCCUUGCCAAGAGGUAAACUUGGUAGUUAUCUUUUUCCUUUCAAUUAUUUUAGUUAAUCAGGUUCAUAUCAUCUUGAAAAUAAAAUAAAAAUGUUUAAAAUAGUAAGCCCCAUGUGAGUAUGCUCAUGGCAUAAAACCCAUAAGUACAUUCACUGUGGUGGCAUAAAAAAAAUGAAAUAAAUAUAUUCCUAUCCUAUAAAAAUAAAAUUAUAAAAAUUAAUGAUCCUACUAAAGAGAGUAACAUUUAUUGAGGAGGCUCAACAUGAUAAAGGCUAGAUAUUUAUGCUAACACUUAACUAGUUCCACAAAGCUUUGUUGUCUAUUUGAGCUCCACAGAAUUCAAGGAUCAAAGAAGACUAGCUGACGGAGGACAUCCUAAUCGCUGUCAGGGUGCUGCUGACAUUCAAAUACACCUCCACCACCUGCUAGCUACAUCAGAAGAAACUUCGUCAAAAUCUAGCUUGGGGGAGAGCACCCCCAUUUAUCCAGCUAAGUGUUUCGACUCACGUUUAUACUUUACUCUAAUAAUAAAAAGAUGCAUAAUCAUAGAAACCCAAAUAAAGAUUUUGUGCUUAUCUUUGCUUAGUUUGCUAAAUAAAUAAAUAAAUAAAGUUUUCUAUGAACCCUCAUGAUAAGCUCUCACAUGGAAAUGCUGAAUAGUUGCUCUGCCAUGACUAGUUCUUAAAAUUGAAAUCUCUCUCAAGUUUAGGCAUGACUGUUAUUAAUUAAGAUUUGCUCUAAACCUGAACUUGUGGGAAGAGUACUUGAUCUAAAGUCUAAGUCGUUAACGGAUAUGAUAUGGGAAGGUUGAGCUGUUGUUUAUCUGUUCCUAGAUAUGCUAGAAUUCUGGAGAAUUUUAUCUUUGAAAAUCUUUAAAAUAUCACAUGAUGAGUUCCUGUAUGAUGAGAGUUUAAAUUCCUACCACAGCCAUAUAUACAUGCUUGCUAGACUUUGAGCCACACAUUUACUUUUUACUGCUUAUGAGCAUUGAGUGUGGUCAAGCUGUGUAGACCCUUAGGAGCUUGUCAUGUGGUUAAAUCAAGAUUCACUUGCACAUUCAGUCACACAUGCUACUUCUACUCCAGAAGUACCAUCCACAUAUAUCCAUCCAUUUCCAUCUCCAGAACCACCCAAAAAUAUUCUACUCCAAAUCUGGGAGAGAAUAGCCAAAAACAUUCUCCUAUUUCUGUUUUUCCCUGUGAAAUAAAUGCUCAAGUUAUCUUGGUUACUACCACUUGCUAUAUUAUUUCAGGAGAUGAGUGCUCUAAAAAAAAGAGAAAAAAAAAGAGAAAGAAUACGAGGAAAUAAAAAGGGGCAAGUGCCCGGAACCUCGAAAAAAAAAGUGAGACGAGAGGUAAAAAUGGACAAGUGUCCGACAGUAGAAUUAGGGGUACAAGAUACCCACCUGAGAGAAAAGAAAAAGAAAAUAUAGAGCAUCUCAUUUGUUGACGGUCCUUAAGUAUCAAAUUUAAUUAUCAAAUAAACAAAGAAAAGGAUCCAAAUGAAAUCAACAUCUAGACUUAGGGUUUUAUCUGACAGAAUUCCACGAGUUUUGGUGUUUGUCUAUUUCUGCAGGGGGUUAUCAGGAAAUAAGGAAGAAAGGCCCACAUGUCAGGAUUACAUAGAGAUAUCAACCCACCGCACAAUUUUCUACCAUCUAGAAGACUCCAGAAGCCACGGGAAGGAAGCGGAGCCCGAAAGGGGCCAGGCCCAGGGCGCCCGCCCUGAGGACCUGGGCGCCCGCCCCCCUCUGGACUCCGUUCCGGACUCUCUUUGCACACGACGUUCCACCGACCUAUUGGAUCCAGAAUAACAUAGUACCACCUCGCCUAUCGACCGAAAAACGCAUAGAAGGGGAGGACUAUAUAAGGAGACCCCCUCUGGCCCCUAGAGAAGACAAGAAAUUAUCAUAGAGAUUGAGGGGUGCCCUCGAAGGAAAACCUCUUCUCUAAAUAAUAUUUCUUUUUAGGCUUAGCAACCAAUGUAAGGUAGAAAUAGAUCUUCUAGAUUCUACUAGAUUGAGAGAGAUAGAGUGGAGGUGUGGAUCGGAGGAAGGCCGGCCUGUCGGUGUCUACUCCGAGUUGUACCUACGGGAUCAAGUCUCCUAACCCGAGGCUUGCUUCUAAGAUUCUUCAGUAUUUCGACUUCUAAUACUAGUAAGUUCUUGUUUUAUUGUUCUUUGGUUUAUGAGUUUACUUUAAUCCUCUUCCGGUUGAGUAUUAGAGUAAUCACUUGUUAGCGUAAACGUGGUGUUUAGGCUAGGGUACUCAUAGAUAUCCCCUGACUAGCUGGACCGUGGUAGUAGCGAGGAACGUGACAUUUCCGAGUUACCUUUGUAGAUCACAUCUCGUUAGCAGGACGGGUAGGUUUAUAGGUGCGGGUCGAACAUCCUUUGUGUUGUCUAGAUUCCGUGAGCCUCUCCAAUAGAACAGUAGAUCAUCCUUACCAAGGUUAGAACGAGACUACGGUUGCAGUCUUCUCUAUACAUCACUCACAUCGAGAAACAUUCUUUGUAGCCUAAAGGGAUAGUAGCAAUAGAUUUGGUUAGUCAGAUGCACCCUUUCUCCCAGUCGUAAAAAUAUAAAUACGAUAACUCUGGAUAACCUCCCGGGUGAAAUGCUCACCGAUAUCCGUGCGCUUGCGGAUCAUUUCCUUAUUGCGUUACCAAAUAUCAACAAGCAUUUCUGGCGCCGUUGCCGGGGAGAAAGACGGUUUGCUGAGAUAACUUUGAGUCUUGCUAUUAUCUUGUAUUAUACUUUUAUACUUUUAUUCUUUUAUCUUUUUAUUUUUAUCUUUAUGGAUAACUCAAAUUCCAUACCUAUAAUUAAAUUCUUUGCACCUUCGGAGACCAGCCAUAGACCAUGGGAGUCAACACGUCCUGCCCCUAAUUAUGAUCUGUGUCCGGAGUUGAUUGCAAUAGGUCAAAACCAACCCUUUUCUAUAGCCGAGGUCCUAUCUUUUAAUCAAGAAGAUAAUGCACUUUUAGCUACACCUGGGGAAUCUUUUAAUCUUUCUAUAAAUUCUGGUUUAGACCUAGCCCUACAAGACCAUGUUUUUCCUAGAUAUUUUCACAUUGGUCUUAAUCAUAUAACCUUUGGUAGAGUCAUUCUUUCUUUAUCUAUUAGUAAAGGAAGGUAUGUCUUUUCAUUUGUGGACAUUCUUCUUGUACUAGUCUUCAUAGAAAAAUCCUAGAAAUAGAGAAGGAAUCAUCUCACAGACAAGGAAAGGAAGUUUCAAUAGCCAAUUUCCAAACAUUUCAAACCCAUAAUUCGGCUAUCCACACCUUCCUUGAGCUUAAUAAAUUCUACUAUGCUCUUUCUCUUAAACCUCCCGAUAAUCAUAUGAAUCUCUCUAGACAUCCCAUGCAUAAGGAGGAUCGAGAAGAGCAACAUCAAUAGCUAGAGGGCAUUAAAAAUCAAUAUGCUAUCACCAUUGAAUGGAUAGAUAAAACAAACUUGAGAGACAAUCCUAGAGGAAUUUUAAGCAUUCAUGAAGAAUCAUCCUUGGAGUUUGAGAAUGAGAGAAACAACAGUGAGCAUGGAAGUUGUUUCAUAAAUACCUUACCAAGUCCUUGCUCAUAUAAAACAUCUCCCCAAUCAAUUGGUCUCUCCAUCCUUACCACAUUUGAGAUCUCCAACCCCCUUUUCCUUUCUAUUUAUAAAAACUUUAAAAGGGCGGUUGUCGAUGCAUAUGUCUAUAAUAAAUAUUGCAGAUCUCGUUGAGUUGAUCUUGAUAUAGGAGGGUGUUGGAGGGGAAACCACUUCACUAACAUAACUUGAUGGUUUCCCAAAGAUAAGCUUAGCGUCCUUAAACAAGCACUUAUCAGAUCGUAACAUGAACUUCUAAUUAUUUGCAACAUUAGCUUGUGUAUUGAGCAUAUAAAGAUAAUUGUAGAAAUAUUCCUUUGGGUAUUCUUGUCACUAACCUUUCCAGGAUUGGAGCAAGAAGAUCGGAUGAAUGACAAGCACAAGGUAUGCCCAACCAAUCAUCAUGCAACAUUAAAUUAAAUUCAUCCAAUCUUGAAUUUUGCAAAAUUCAAGCUUGGGGGAGUACUUUACAUAAAACAUCCUUUGCCAUGUUGCUAUGUUGGUUGUCCCUACCUUUGAGACAUGCUCAAUUUGUUAAAUACUAAUCACACUACUUCAUCUCCACUUGAGUAGAUCUCUAUAAAAGCCAUCAUGCUACCUUUGUUUAUCCUAGUAAGUGUUAGUUUGGAAGUACUGGUCACACUUCCAAUGGCAUUUAAAUUAAGCGUGGUGCUUAGGUUAAAUAGCCUUCCUUAAUCUGAUUAGACAUGGAGUCUUGUUUGGUUACUGAACUAAAAAACUGCUUGAGUAGAUAUUGGUAUAUUUUGUUGGACUAACCCCUGCAGGAAAACUUUCAAUAACAACCUGGGAAGUCCUGAGAUGCAAACUCAUUAGAGAUGAAGAAAGUGACACAUGAAGUUUAACAAUUUGCACAAGAAAGACGUAGCUCAUAAGAGAUGAUUCAUGGAGGGUGCCACAAACACGAUGCACAACCGCUAAGAAAGGAAAGCUUCCACAAGGUGAUACUGUACCAUCACUCUUCAAGUAAGGUAACAUCUUAAGGUACUUGACUAACACUUUUAUAAGGUCCUCCUUGGUUCUGGCAUUCACAUAAAUAAAGAGACAAACAUGUAUGAUUUAUAACUCCAAAUUAACCAACUCAAUUAAUUCAACAUGUUUAGUCCUUUAAUCUUUGUUCUUAGUACUACCUUGGUGACCCCACACUCCUAAUCAUAUAAGCUAAAGUAUUGCACAUUCAAUCUUUGGAAGAUAUAAACAAAACAUAAAUAUAGAUAGAUUAUCUUUCCAUUAGGUUGAGCCAUCUGAUCUGACAAAUGCUACACUCAUGAUCCCUCAACUUUGUCUUGCUCACUAUGCUUAAGGUUAGAGAAGAACAAAUACACUUUUGGUUCUGUUGGUGUUUUCCACCAACAGGGCCCAUGCACUUGAUCUCUACCUUGUCUCUAUGAGCAGGAACACUUCGAGCAUAAUAUGAAGGAGUUUUACAACUCCCAGAUUCCACCAAGUGAAGAACUAGGAUCUACGAGCACAAACACACUGGAGAUACUGGACGCUCAGGCAAUCACUGCCCUAAGAUGCUUGAGGACAUGAACUACAUCAACAACAAUAACAACUAUUACUACAACCGUCCUCAACAACAUCAAGGUUGGAAUCAAUAGAGGCCUAAUUACUCAGAGAGGUGAUCUAGGACGUCCCGUCAUCCCGAUCUCCAUCGGCAUGGUGGACUUCCCAGAAGCACUCUGCGACUUUGGCUCCAACGUCAACAUUAUGCCUAGGGUUGCAGAUCGGACACUCAGUUUCCCAAAGGAAAUAUUGAAGAACCUCUGUGUCCGAGUUGGUACCUUGUAUGCUCUAGCAGACUUCAUGGUGAUAGAGACUGGUACUGAGGAGAGGGCACCCAUCAUCUUAGGGAGGCCAUUCCUAAACACUAGAGUUGUCAUCUACGCUAAUGCUGCCAAGAUCAGUCUCUACAUCAAGGGGAAGAAGGAGACUUUCCUUCAAGAACAAGACUACACAAGCUUCAGAGCAAACCCGACAUGAACCAAGGAAGAGGACCAACAGGAGGAACAGGAACAAGCAAAUGUGGACCAAGUCAGCUAAGAUGGUCACUGCAGCUCGAGGAGGUCAAGAUCGUCGACUCAAGUCACCUUUCUUGAUCAAGAAGGACGACCCUGGUGUUCUAAGCAUUGAGUGCACAAUCAACAGAUACUCUUUUCAGAAGACACUCUACGACACCGGAUCUGACGUCAACAUAGUGGCCGUAGUCACUUAUCAGCUCCUGCAUAAAACCAUGCCCCUACAACCAAUAUACAUUCAGCUAUAGAUGACUUUCAAGUUAUUGACAUGGGAGAAGAUGAAUAUGAUCCAUUCACCAUCCUUGGAAGACAGUUCCUCAGCACUAUCAAAGCCAUCAUCUAUAUUGGAACCGGAGAAGUCCACAUACACUUCUCCUCUGAGAAGGUAUGCCGCUGUUUUACUCACCCUAACUAUAUAGUUGAAGACUCUAAGCAGGUCAGGACAAGAAGAAGACAUCGCAACCGCAACCAGAGGAGGCAAAUCAUCAAGGACGGAUGGGUAGACUACGAAGGAGAAGUGAUAAGGACUGAAGACAUACCACUUGAACAUAACUGUCCUGAGGAGACCAUAGCACCGAGUCAGGUGUGGAGAGAGAAUAUAGUUACACACGAAGAGGAGGCGCCACCGGAAUCCCCGACUACGUCAUCCAGCGAAUCCCAGGACGAUUAAGAAAAUGGAGAGUCCCGCUCGGAGGACUUAAAAACACCGAACGCCUUGCCAAGAGGUAAACUUGGUAGUUAUCUUUUCCCUUUUAAUUAUUUCAAAUAGUUUACUUAGUUAAUCAUGUUCGUAUUAUCCUAGAAAGAAAAUAAAAAUGUGAAAAAAAAACUGUAAGCCCCAUGUGAGUAGACGAGUGACAUAAAACCCAUAAGUACAUUCACUGUGGUGGCAUAAAAAUAAAAUAAAUAUUUUUCUACUUUAUAAAAACAAAAGUAUAAAAACAGGGAGUAAUAAUUAUUAAGGAGUCUCAACAUGAUAAAGGCUAGAUAUUUAUGCUAACACUUAACCAGUUCCACAAGCUUUGUUGUCUAUUUGAGCUCCACAGAAUUUAAGAAUCAAGAAGACUAGCAGACGGAGGACAUUCUAAUCGCUGUCAAAAUACUGCUGACUUUCAAACACACCUCUGCCACCUGCUAGCUACAUCAAGAGAAAUUACGUCAAAAUCCAGCUUGGAGGAGAGCACCCCCAUUUAUCUCGAUAAGUAUUUCUAUCUAUCUUUAUACUUAUACUAUAUUAGAAUAUAAAUACACAUAACUAUGAAAAACCAAAUAAAGAUUUAUGCUUAUAUAUAUUUUGCUUAGUGUGUUUAAUAAAUAAAUAAAGUGACUAUGAUAAUCGGUAUCUAAUAAAACUUAAGCAUGGAUAUGAUGAAUAGUUACUCUGCCUAAUUUGCAAAUUUGAAGUUCUCUCUCAAGUUUAGAUAUAACUGUUAUAAUUUAAGGCUUGCUCUAGACCUAAACUUGUGGGAUGAAAACUUGAUCUGAAGUCUAAGUUGUUAACGGAUACGAUAUGGGAAGGUUGAGCUGCUGUUCAUCUAUUCCUAGAGAUGCUAGAAUUCUGGAGAAUUUUAUCUUUGAAAAAAUCUUUAAAAUAACACAUGAUGAGUUCCUGUAUGAUGAGAGUUUAAAUUCCUACCACAGCCAUAUAUACAUGCUUGCUAGACCUUGAGCCACACAUUUACUAUUUACUGCUUAUGAGCAUUGAGUGUGGUCAAGCUGUGUAGACCCUUAGGAGCUUGUCAUGUGGUUAAAUCAAGAUUCACUUGCACGUUCACUCAUACAUGCUACUUCUACUCCGGAAGUACCAUCCACAUAUAUCCACUCAUUUCCAUCUCCAAAACCACCCAAAAGUAUUCUACUCCUAAUCCAGGAGAGAAUAACUAAAAAUAUUUCUGUUUCCCCUUAUGAAAUAAAUGCUCAAGUUAUCAUGUUACUACCUCUUGCUAUAUUAUCUCAAGAGAUGAAUGCUCUAAAAAAAUAAAAAAAAUAAAAAGAGAAAAUAAAAGAUACGAGGAAAUAAAAAGGAGCAAGUGCUCGGAACCUCGAAAGAAAAGAAAAAAAAGAAGAGCAUCUCAUUCUCCUCAUAAAGUUUCAAAAGCAAGGAAGGUAUGUAUCCCCUCAAAGAGCAAAGUAGAAUUAGACUUCCACCACCAUUGUUAUCACCAUCAUCACCAUACACCAUUCAUUCGCCACACAUGCACAUCUUGAUUUGGCUUAUUGAUUUGUUUCUUUGGAUCCAUGGUUUGACUAUGCAAUAAAUGUCUUGUAAGUAUGUAUACUUUAUCUCCCACCUAUGAGCUUCAGAUAUUAAAGCCUUAUUAGAGUAGGGUGAGAGAGAAGACAAUGUCACUAUGCUUCAUACCACAAAUACUACAUAUCUUGAGAGAAGGCAUAUACCAUCACUGCCUUGGUAAGGAUCCAAAAAUACCACAAAAGAGAGACCUGAGAGAAUCAUACAAGGAAUUUCUGAGUUUUAUUUGAAAAUCUGCAAAAACCCCAGAGCUAUAGCUGAUCAAGAAUAAGAGACAUGGCAUUUGGCUAGACUGUUCUAUCUUUUAACCACUCAAGACAGAAGUGACGGUUACAAGUCCUAUGGUGUAGGUAAAGUAAGUAAGUUUUAAGUCUUAACAGUUUAUUCUAACUAUGAGAUCUUGCUUAAAUGCAUGUGUACUUCUAAGAAAUGAAACCACUACAGAAACUCUUGAGUUCAUCCUUGCUCAGGGACGAGCAAGAGGUAAGCCUGGGGGAGUUUGUUGACGGUCCUUAAGUAUCAAAUUUAAUUAUCAAAUAAAUAAAGAAAAGGAUCCAAAUGAAAUCAACAUCUAGACUUAGGGUUUUAUCUGACAGAAUUCCACGAGUUUUGGUGUUUGUCUAUUUCUGCAGGGGGUUAUCAGGAAAUAAGGAAGAAAGGCCCACAUGUCAGGAUUACAUAGAGAUAUCAACCCACCGCGCAAUUUUCUACCAUCUAGAAGACUCCAGAAGCCACGGGAAGGAAGCGGAGCCCGAAAGGGGCCAGGCCCAGGGCGCCCGCCCUGAGGACCUGGGCGGCCGGCCCCCUCUGGACUCCGUUCCGGACUAUCUUCGCACACGACGUUCCACCGACCUAUUGGAUCCAGAAUAACAUAGUACCACCUCGCCUAUCGACCCAAAAACGCAUAGAAGGGGAGGACUAUAUAAGGAGACCCCCUCUGGCCCCUGGAGAAGACAAGAAAUUAUCAUAGAGAUUGAGGGGUGCCCUCGAAGGAAAACCUCUUCACUAAAUAAUAUUUCUUUUGAGGCUUAGCAACCAAUGUAAGGUAGAAAUAGAUCUUCUAGUUUCUACUAGAUUGAGAGAGAUAGAGUGGAGGU